This is a long non-coding RNA of Carassius auratus (goldfish), 1272 nucleotides long. RefSeq lists it as uncharacterized. Lineage: Eukaryota; Metazoa; Chordata; Actinopteri; Cypriniformes; Cyprinidae. The record is from RefSeq and is a predicted model, not a curated record. The transcript is spliced from 5 exons.
CUGUAAACUGGAGAAACUGUGGUUGAGUGAUUGUGGCGUCACAGAUGAAGGUUGUUCUGCUCUGACUUCAGCUCUGAGAUCAAACCCCUCACACCUGAGAGAACUGGAUCUGUCUCUGAAUAAAAUAAGAGAUUUGGGAGUGAAGCGUCUCUGUGCUGGUCUGGAGGAUCCUCGCUGUAAACUGGAGACACUGUGGUUCUUCUGUCUUCAGUCUGGACGAGGUGUGAGCGUCAUAACUCCAGGGACGGAUGAACACACGGCUCUACUGGACACGUACUCGGAGAACUAGACCAGAGGGACCCCGCCGAAAUACUGCUGCUCCCGGAACCAGAUUUCAGACAGACACCUCAGAUUUCUGAACCAAGUGCAGCUUGAAUGAGAUUUACCAAAGAAAAGAAAAUAUGAGGCAGAACGCACGCUUGCUGUUCUCUGGUGAAUUCUCUCUUCAUGAACAACAAUGUAGAGCUGUGCACACAAUGUACAGAUACUUCUAGAGCAGAUAUGAGGGAGACUUCAGUCACGUUUGGAGCACGCUCUUUCACAGAUGUCUGUGGAUGUGGACUUCUUACAAUUGAUCUGUGUUCAGGAGCUGGUUUUCCUGAGUGCUGUAUCCUCCAGGUCAUCAUUCCUGUGGACAGAUGGGAAGACUUCACUGGUCUGCAUCAUGCUGUUACUUUAGAGAGACACAGAAACGAGACGCAUGUUGUGAUGGCACAACUGGAGCACUCUCUCUUCUGGAGAGGAGCAUUUUGGUAAAAAAAUACACCAUAUUACAUUAAUUGUAAUGUUUAAUCAAUAUUGUUGUUGUACUUUAGGAUAGUUGGUGAAAUAAUGGCAGUGAGCAUUACUCAGGAUGGACCUUUUUCAUGAAGUGGAUUUACAAUUUCAUUUCUUCCGGGAGAUUAAUAAAGAUGAGCUGACAUAACAGAUGCAGACCUGCUAGAUCUGAUUGACAAGAUUGAGACUGCAGACACUACAGCCUUGCUUGAGCUUUCUGAAAGAAUCGUAGCAUGUGGUACACAGGAUCCUAACAUGUGAUGAAAGGAAGACAUUGUCAGGUGUAGUAUCUGUGAUUCUGUCCAUCUGACUCUCCUCCUUUCUCUUCAAUCCACACAUCAGGGUUAGAUGUUUUUGGGACAUUAUACUCAUUCGUAGACUCUCAUCUGCAGCUUUUUACAGGUUUUCCAUUGUCAUGAGAAAUAAUGAAAUAUCUGAUGUCCCUGUCACUGUUUUAAGUUCAGGAACAGCGAGGCUAUGAUAUAAUAGUAUUAC